GGGCGCUUGGUCUAGGGGUAUGAUUUUCGCUUCGCAUCUUCUGAGUUCUCCACAGAGGAUCAGAUGCGCUCUGUGAAAGGUCGUGGGUUCAAUUCCCACAGUGUCCA
Colletotrichum navitas is the source of this 107-nucleotide non-coding RNA. Lineage: Eukaryota; Fungi; Ascomycota; Sordariomycetes; Glomerellales; Glomerellaceae. The record is from the annotation of a RefSeq genome assembly.